RNAcentral lists this unclassified non-coding RNA (303 nucleotides) under Zea mays. RNAcentral describes it as "misc RNA Zm00001eb308880". The record is from RNAcentral. Lineage: Eukaryota; Viridiplantae; Streptophyta; Magnoliopsida; Poales; Poaceae.
CUGCAUGCGGUAGGCUUCGGCUUCAAUGGAUUCGGCUCCCCUUGGGCCCUCGUCGCCUCGCCUUCAGGGUCGUGCACUCGUGCCGCCACCGUCAGCCCCCAUCGCCGUCUCUGGGCCCCUGAGAGGAGCAUGACCCGAGCCUCCACCCUUGUCGCCAGGAGAACGGGGCUACUCCGCCACCUCGGCUUCCUUAAGGGCCGACCUAGCACCCCCGCCCCCUCGUCGCCUCCACAUCUUCAAGGUUGUGCCGCCAAAGCUGGCCUCCAUAGCCUGCACUGGACCCCUGAUUGGAGCACGACCUAA